UCUGCCUGCCUUGGCCUCCUAAAGUGCUGGGAUUACAGGCGUUAGUCACUGUGCCUGGCUGAGGAUGUGAUGCUGUCUUGGCGACCAGCUGUAUGGUACACAGAGAGGUGUCUCCACUCUGUCCCCCACCCCUGGCCUCUUCAAAUCCUGACAGAGGGUCAAUGACAGCUCUUCCCUGUGGGAUUAAGCCUUCAUUUUCAGUGGAUGACGAAUCCUUUUCCCUCUCCACGGGAGCUUUACAUCUCUAAGAAAUCUCGAGUCGGAAAGUAAGCGUCUGGAAGGGAAUGUGCCACCUGUCGCCCUCCUGGUGUUCUGGAAACCUCAGCAGGGCCACUCCUGCUCUCCUUCCUGCUCAUUUCCCGGCAUCCACACAGGGUGUUUUCUUCUAAAGAUCUUGCUGGCACUUGCUGAGCCUCACGCUGCUGCAGCCAGCCAGUGACUCUUGCAUCAGUGACUGGCACACAUCUCCCUCUGCCCACCAGGUCUCAGAGGGUCACUGCUCUCAGCUCUGAACCAGCCCUGGCUUUGGUCGCUGGUGUGUGGCACAGAUGCAGGCGACAUGGAGCUUCGUAGUAGUCAGAACAAGCCCUUCCCUGCAGCAGCAUCAUGGUCAGAGGCUGUCUUUGUCUGGGUUCCCCUAAGUGGGGGACAGACCUUGAGAUGAGGAUCUGCAAGUGGUUUAUUGGGCAGAUGAUCUGGAAACAUAGGUGGUGGGUGGGGAGGUGGAAUGGGAAGACAGGAGGCGGAACAAUAGGCAUGACCAAGAAGGUCAGGACAUAGGCGGCUGGAGCCGUCCUGCGGGGGAUGCCAGGAGCCAGGGCAGAACACGUCCUGAAGUUGUCCUGACUGCAGAGUGGAGUGGCUGGAACAUUCACCCCACCCUGUCACUGCUGAAGGCUGUCCCCACACAUGGGUCAAGCAACUCUCGUAGCCGGAAAGAGCCAUUAGCAGGUGAAAGUGAGGCUGUUUGCCUCAGUGGCCCACUGCUUCUCUGCCCUGUCUAGCCAGGUUGAUGGUCCCCUCUGGUCUGGGGUAGCUCCUGCUGCUCAGGUGUCAGGCCUCUCUGCAGGGCCACUGCUAGCCCAGUGUGCUCCUGUGUAAACUCACACAUGGUGCUCCUUUGGAGCAGGCUAAGGCCCAGGCUGGGGUGCAUGACUGGGUGAGCUGAGCAUGGGGGAAAUGCAAGCCUCACUUGGGUUCUUGGCAAGGGACCCUUGAUUGGUGAAGAAACCACACAACUGUGCCCAGGAGCCCUGCUUCUGUCUGGGUAUAGGCUGCCCGGGGAGGUGUGAUCUGGGAGGAACCUGCAACUCUCUCCCUGGAAUCAAGGAGGUUCUGUAGGCAUGACUUGGGUCCCCAUUACCUUGGGUUCACAGAGAUCUCAUUCUGUUCCUCUUUCCCUCUACUUGGGGGUUUUGGAAACAAAAGCCUAGAACAGGCAGUGGUAGUGGCCAAACUUCCAGCCUGAAGCACGCUCACGUCACAAACUGAUGUGUGCUGGACUCUGUGUCUAGUUUUUUUUUUUUUUUUUUUUUUUUCUUGAGACAAGGUCUGGCCCUGUCACCCAGGCUGGACAGAAUCAUGGCUCAUUGCAUCCUCAGCCCCGCGGGCUUAACUGAUCCUCCCACCUCAACUUCCCAAGUAGCUGGGACCACAGGCAUGUGCCACCAUGCCUAAUUUUUAAAUUUUUUGCAGAGACAAGGUCUCACUACGUUGCCAAGGCUGGUCUCGAACUCCUGGGCUCAAGUGAUCUUCCCACCUUGGCCUCCCAAAGUGCUGGGAUUACAGAUGUGAGCUACCAUGCCAGUCCCUGGUUUUUAAGCACUUCUCAUGCUCUUUCAUGUCUGAUCUUCUCAAACUUGGUUCUAUGGUUAUCAUUAUUUUACACACAAAACUAAAGCUCAGAAAAGUUAGGCAACUUGUCUGAUAUCUGUCUCUGGUAAGAGGCAGAGCAAGGAUUGGGAUCUAGGCCUUGUUACUCAGAACACAGGGCAGGGUGGCUGGAGUUUCCUUCACAUCCCCAGCCUGUGUCAUGAUGGAUUUGCUUUCCUGGUUUUGAACAUCACACACGUGGAAUUUUCCGUACAUUCUGGAGUGACUUCAUUGUGCGCUUCAUCCACAUUGUUGCGGGUUGUGGUUGUGUGCCCUUUUCCAUUGUUGCACAAAAUCUCCUCUCUGUGAACAUGCCACACUUACUUUUUAAAAUCUUUUCUCCUAUGGAUGGACAUCUGGGUCAUUUCCAGUUUGGGGCCAUCAGGAGGAAAGCUGCUGUGGGUAGUUUUGUUAAUGUCUUCUGGUACACAUAAGCUCUCAUUUCUCUUGGGUGAGGUGAGGAAUUAGUCAGUCAUGGGAUAUUCGUAUGUUUAGGUUUUGUAAAUACUGCCAGUUUGCCAAUGUGGUUGUAUCAAUUUUAUGAGCAAUGUAUGAAGGUUCCAGCUGCGACAUCCUUGACAAACUAGGUAUCGUCAGUCCUUUUAAUUUUAGCCAUUCUUGGGUGGGUGAGAGCAGUGAAGAGCCAUUCUUGACAUGGAAUGACAAGACCUAGUGUGCCAGAGGUGAAGGCCUGAGCGUCCAGGGGAGCAUGAGCCUGUCUUCUAUGCCCUGCUGUGCUACAGCAAUGUUUCACUGUGCUCAGGAGGAAAACAGAGACAGCAGAGAAGCCGAGUGCUCCAAAGUGGGCAGAAAUGAGACAGGCAUAAAUAAAGUGCUAGGCUAAUAGUGAGACUCUUAGAUAAUUUUGUCAUUAGCUACAAAGAGGGCAGUGACAACAUGAUUUACAUACACACACACACACACACGGGGUGGGGUAUCUGAAAUAUUAAGCAGCUAGUAUGGUAGGGGCACUGCCUAAUCAGUAUGGAUGCUGGCCAGGAGAAGAUGUGUGUAUGUGCUGGCUGGAAACUCAGUCCUGCUCAUAGGUCAUGAUCUUAAUGAUUAAAUAAGCCAAGAAAUCCCAGAGGGCAGUGCCCGAGAGCACCCUGUUUGCUCUGUGGCUAGAACGCAGCACCCUGAAGUAUCACCCAUCAGGGUUAGAGGUGCUCGUGAUGGUUUGGGCAAAUACUAAUAUUAAUCCAGAGUAUCAGAGUCUGCAUGAAAAUACUGAAAAGUGAGGGUAUACUCAACCGUUUGCAAGAAAUACAAAUGGGAACUGACAAUAACUUAAGAUAAUUAGAGAGGCAGAGAGCACUGGGUUUUACUAAAAUAUUAAGACAUUAAUAUUUUAUGCGUCCUGUCUCCAUGUCGGCAACUGCGCAAAGUACACGCGUUCAAGCGAAAGUGGGAAGGCUAAUGGCCAGCCAGAGCUUCGGCGCUUGCACGCUCAGGCCACCGGGUGACGACUGCUUCCAAUUCCGCGGCCUUUAAACCCCAGGUUGUUUUUUAAAAAACAAAACAAACAAACAAAAACACUAUUUCUCUAAAAGUCACGAUUCGAGCCCCACCUGAGGACGCAACGAUCCGGCGCCAACUCCUUUAUGUAUAAAUGAGUGACUUUACCAGAAGCGCCUAUGCAAGACGCAGGGCCCCGCGCAGGCUGCUCCCACCUCUUUCUCUCCUUGCAGGGUACCGAGACCCUGGCUGGUGCAGCCGGCGGCCCCUCCGGCCCAUCCGUCGGAAAUGGAAUAGCCCAUUUCAAACCUACAAGAAAGAAGUGUGCCUCCCAGGUCAUUCGAUGCACCCUGGCCCCUGGGCCGUCUGCUGUGAGUGCCAGACCAGAUUCGGGGGCCGCCUACCUGUGCCCAGGGUGGAAGCAGCACUGCCUUACUGGGUCCCUCUGUCCCUGAGACCCCGAAAGCAGAGUCAAAAGAUGGUUCAGUUUUAUAUCCCCCAAACCACCAAGAUGUGCCCCUGCCUAUGCCAUCGCUUUGGGGGCCGCCUCCCGAUGCCUAGGGACCAGGCAGUGAUGCCCUACUGGGUGCCCCAGGUUCUGAGGUCUCAGCAGCAGAUGGUCAGGAGGCAGGAGAGUUUGAAAGGCAUCCAAGCACCCCCGCUGGAUGCAUGCUCCUGGCACAACUGCUGGCGGAUCUGCGGUGACGAGCGCCUGCUGCCCAAGUGCCAGCAGCUCCAGGCCCCCGACCAGGACGAGCUACCGGCUCGCCCAGUGUGUCUGCUGCGCCUUGCCCUCCUGACCCUCCUCCAGGCCAUCCCGAGGGUCAUUGUGGCCAUUCGCCAGUUUUUUGGGAUUUGAAGUUGGAAUCUUCAGCUACUGUCAAGAAUAUCCACAAAAAUAUGUCACAAUCAAGAUCUUUAACGAGAGUCCUCCAAUCAGGAGGCGUCUGUGACAGCCGCUGUUUUCUCAUAGAACAGAAUCCACACCCAGGAUUCAACCCAAAUUAUUUCUCAUCAGGGGGGACUUGUCCCCAUCUCCGUGUCCCUGGGGGAGGGCAGCCAUUUCCGAGUGUCUCUUCAGGGACAGCAGAUCCACUGGACAAGGGUCCGAAAAUGGUAUCAGCACCUGUGUCAGGUGAGAGAGAAGCUGAUUACGACCAGGUCUGGCACAGAAAGCCCCUGUUUGUGCAAUCCUGCAUUCUUCCUUUUUAAAUAAAAUUUAAGACCAUCUGAAACGACUUGCCAUCUUGA
Non-coding RNA from Macaca mulatta (Rhesus monkey), 4578 nucleotides. The record is from RefSeq and is a predicted model, not a curated record. Lineage: Eukaryota; Metazoa; Chordata; Mammalia; Primates; Cercopithecidae.